AUCAAGCAACAAUGAACUAUGAUCGAGGGCUUUAAUUUCAGUCAUAAGAUUAAAUUUCAACAAGGUAUAUGAAUCAUCACUUUCAAUGCUUGUGCAAAUGCAAGCUAUAUGCUACUAGACUCAAUCCUAGAGAUAUAGAUGACUAUGCAAAAUUACAUGCAUCUUUUGGAUUUUUCAAUUUUUUUUUUUGAUUUUUCUCAAAACAAAGCUAUUAACAAAUGCAAGACUCAAGAGAAAUGAAAAACAAAACAAAACACAUCAUUAGAUACCUAGUCCCUCCCCCAAACUUAAUUCACAAAGUCUCGGUGUGAUAAAAAAAAUGAGGAAGAGACUAACAAAAAAAAAACUAAAAUGAGACUCAAAGCGG
RNAcentral lists this long non-coding RNA (367 nucleotides) under Capsella rubella. Its description in RNAcentral is "long non-coding RNA (CRUB_LNC004987)". The record is from RNAcentral. Lineage: Eukaryota; Viridiplantae; Streptophyta; Magnoliopsida; Brassicales; Brassicaceae.